This 695-nucleotide ribosomal RNA is filed under the name Heyndrickxia oleronia. Its description in RNAcentral is "Bacillus oleronius partial 16S ribosomal RNA". It matches the Rfam family "Bacterial small subunit ribosomal RNA", at positions 26 to 712 of the family's 1533-position model. The record is from RNAcentral. Lineage: Bacteria; Bacillati; Bacillota; Bacilli; Caryophanales; Bacillaceae.
CGACGUGCGCUGGCGGCGUGCCUGGACUUGCGGUCGAGCGAAUCUGAUGGGAGCUUGCUCCCUGAUGAUUAGCGGCGGACGGGUGAAUAACACGUGGGGAACCUGCCUGUAAGACUGGGAUAACUCCGGGAAACCGGGGCUAAUACCGGAUAACUUUUUUCUUCGCAUGAAGAAGAAUUGAAAGAUGGCUCCGGCUAUCACUUACAGAUGGACCCGCGGCGCAUUAGCUAGUUGGUGAGGUAACGGCUCACCAAGGCGACGAUGCGUAGCCGACUUGAGAGGGUGAUCGGCCACACUGGGACUGAGACACGGCCCAAACUCCUACGGGAGGCAGCAGUAGGGAAUCUUCCGCAAUGGACGAAAGUCUGACGGAGCAACGCCGCGUGAGUGAUGAAGGUUUUCGGAUCGUAAAACUCUGUUGUUAGGGAAGAACAAGUAUCGUUCGAAUAGGGCGGUACCUUGACGGUACCUAACCAAAAGCCGCGGUAAUACGUGCCACACCCGCGGUAAUACUAGGUGGGAGCGUUUCCGAAUUAUUUGGGCUGAAAGGGGGCGGGAGCGGUUUCUUAAUUUGAUUUGAAAACUUGGGGCGCAACCCCAGGGGGCGUGGGGAAUGGGGGAACUUGGAGGCAAAAGGGGAAAGCGAAAUCCCCCGUAGGCCGGGUAAUUGCCGGGGGGGGGGGAGGGGGCACUUG